GAAUCGCUCACCCAGAUUCGUAUGCUUCUUCAAGUAGGACUGGAACUUCUCUGCUUUCUGGAGAAUACCCUCAAUCUUGCCGCCCUUGUAGACACAUGCACGCCGCAAGCUGAUUCCACUCUGCUGCAGGAGCUUAUCGUCCUCUAAUGCACUUCUCAUAUGCUGCUGGAGGAACCAGAACACCACACAGCCUUCCUGGAGGGCAGAAACAGUGAAGUUGCAAGGAAUUAUGGUGGGGGCCACAGAGGAACAAGGCAAGUUCAAGAUUAGCUGGAAGGUAGGAAAUCAGAGGUAGACAGAGAAAGGCGAGCUAAAGCCCAGUGGACACAGAAUAUGCUUAUUUCUGCCCAGCUGGGCUGCAAGAGAGGACGGAACCUGAGACGACAGGGCACACGCUGGAAGGCAGAAUCUAAGGAGUGCGUCCGCCUUUUGUUACUCUGUUGAGCGACCCCGGCAAAGUCACAUGGCUAUCAAAUGCCUUCACCUCCAAAAGUCUAUGACACUCUGCAAGCAAGGUGCUAUGAUGGUGGUGCCCACGUGUUAUGUCUCCGUUUUUGGAAAGGCAACUAUGUCCAAUAAUGAGGUGAGGUGAGGUCAGAACUUUAGGGGACAGAGUGUGAU
Herpailurus yagouaroundi (jaguarundi) is the source of this 621-nucleotide long non-coding RNA. RefSeq lists it as uncharacterized. NCBI's taxonomy places the organism in Eukaryota, Metazoa, Chordata, Mammalia, Carnivora, Felidae. The transcript has 3 exons. The record is from RefSeq and is a predicted model, not a curated record.